Molecule: ribosomal RNA, 24 nt
Filed under: Heterorhabditis baujardi
Lineage: Eukaryota; Metazoa; Nematoda; Chromadorea; Rhabditida; Heterorhabditidae
Also listed under: 1 other name
Description: partial 28S ribosomal RNA
Source: RNAcentral
UGCAACCUGAGCUCAGUCGUGACU